GAAAUGCGAUAAGUAAUGUGAAUUGCAGAAUUCAGUGAAUCAUCGAAUCUUUGAACGCACCUUGCGCUCCUUGGUAUUCCUUGGAGCAUGCCUGUUUGAGUAUCAUGAAAUCUUCAAAGUAAAUCUUUUGUUAACUCAAUUGGUUUCUACUUUGGUAUUGGAGGUCUUUGCAGCUUCACACCUGCUCCUCUUUGUUCAUUAGCUGGAUCUCAGUGUUAUGCUUGGUUCCACUCGGCGUGAUAAGUUAUCUAACGCUGAGGACACUGUAAAAGGUGGCCAAGGUAAAUGCAGAUGAACCGCUUCUAAUAGUCCAUUGACUUGGACAAUACUUUUAUGAUCUGAUCUCAAAUCAGGUAGGUCUACCCGCUGAACUUAAGC
This 378-nucleotide unclassified non-coding RNA is filed under the name plant metagenome. RNAcentral describes it as "partial contains 5.8S ribosomal RNA, internal transcribed spacer 2, and large subunit ribosomal RNA". The stretch from base 1 to 105 matches the Rfam family "5.8S ribosomal RNA", at positions 50 to 154 of the family's 154-position model. The record is from RNAcentral.